CAGGUCCGAGAGUCACUGCCAACAAGCUGUUAUUACAGAAUCUCAUUUUCCAAUUGUACCAGGAGCACUAAUGCAGAAAGUGGAGUUUUUGUCUUGCAAAGGAUAGAUGUGAACAGUAUAUAUGACGCAAGGAGUGUCUCAUCAUCAUCAUCUUCUUACAGCUCCACUGCAUCACGCACCUUCAAGUAUACAUAAAUAACUACUGUAUUGACUUUAAAGGCAUUGAUUAUGCUGUGAUCA
Molecule: non-coding RNA, 240 nt
Organism: Paramisgurnus dabryanus
Lineage: Eukaryota; Metazoa; Chordata; Actinopteri; Cypriniformes; Cobitidae
Source: RefSeq, a predicted model, not a curated record